RNAcentral lists this long non-coding RNA (4599 nucleotides) under Capsicum annuum. RNAcentral's name for it is "long non-coding RNA (CANN_LNC017377)". The record is from RNAcentral. Lineage: Eukaryota; Viridiplantae; Streptophyta; Magnoliopsida; Solanales; Solanaceae.
AAGCCCAAUUCAUCCAUUUUUACCUCACGUUAUCAUACACCCUCAUCCAUGUAAUUAUCCCUCCACAAAAUUAAAAAAAAACAAACUCCCUGACAAAUUUUAUCUCAACCAACUCAAACCCCUCACCCAACCCCCUACCCUUAUACCCCACUUACCAGUUACCCCCACCCCUGGAUCACAUUUUCCUUUUUCCUUUUGAGAGUAUAUAUACAGAACAAUACAAUACACAGAUAGGGAGAAUGGACUAAGGGACCCACACCAAAAAAUCACCAUCACUCUUCUACACAAUUCCAUACACGCAUAUAUACACAACAUACGAUACCCACUAGGGGGAUUCGGACAGAUGGAUUAAAAUACACACACCCAUACAAAAUUCCACAUACAUAGAACACUCCAUUUUCAUCUUCACACAAUUCUUCACAUCACAGAAAGAGGACGCACAUUCUCUCCAUACCUGUACACACAUAUCUUCCAUAGACAAUACACACAGAAAAAGAGCUCACGCCAUUUUUUGAAACUCCAUUUCCUCUCCUUUUCUUCUUCUUCUUUGCACACUCUCACAGAAGACCACACGCAAACAUGCAUCUCUCACAAAACACAUCAUCCAUACUCACAGAAAAGAGAUAGGAGAGCUUUAUAAACACAAAAAUAGCGUAGAGAGGGGAGAGAUCGGAGAAACAACGAGAAAACGAGGGAGAGAUCAGAGAAACAGCGAGAAAACGAAAGAGAGAUCGAGAAUACAGUGAGAGGUCGAUGAAAUUUGCAAAAAGUAGACCCAAAUAAACUGGAACCGACUGUUUAGGGUCUGAUUCCAGUGAUAUUCGCCAGAACGGGUGAAAACAGGGUAGGGUUUGCGAGAAUUUGAUCUGUCCGUUUGCUAUUUCUCAAUAUGAGUUGAUUUUGUUCGGGGUUGAGGCUUUGUCCUUCAAGGCAUUCUGAUCGGAGUUCUAACCAAAUGCUUUGGCGGAUUGAAAUAAAAAUUGAGGUUCAAUUCUACUUUUUUCUCUUUUUAUUUUAUUAUUUAUUAUAUUUAGUGUGCUAGAUAUAACGAAAAUAUCAAAAAAAAAAUUCAUUCAUAGUUAUUGGUGUCAGUUUUAUGUGAUGUGUUAAAUUAAAACCCCCAAAAGAUUUUAUUAACGGUUUUCAUCGUCUGUCUUUAGUCGUUUGUCUUAAGUUAAGAUCAGUCGGUUCUUUAAUCUUUAAUUGUUCAAUCUGGACGAACUACGCACCACUGAUUCUCCUCUCCCGGGAAUGAGAUACGUAGGCAACCUAUUGUGGGUUCGGGAAUCUUAUUUGAAAAAUUCAAAAAGAUUUUCUUCACUCUUUAUUAGAGUAGGUGUCAUAUACAUCUCUAAAAGAAAACCACAAAAAGAUUUUUCUUUAAUAGUUUCAAGUUUCAUUUUCAUAUGAAAUUCAAAAUUGAAAACUCAAAAAGAUUUUUCUUUGAUAAUCAUAGGUUUCAUUUUGUAUAGAAAUCUGAAAAAUCCAAAAAAAUUUUCUUCACUUUUCAUUUUGAAUAGGUGUCAUAUAUAUUUUUAAAAGAAAACUACAAAAGAGAUUUUCCUUUAAUAGUUUCAAGUUUCAUUUUCAUAUGAAAUUCAAAAUUGAAAACUCAAAAAGAUUUUUCUUUGAUAAUCAUAGGUUUCAUUUUGUAUAGGAUGUUAAAGUUGAAAAAUUUUAAAAGAUUUUUGUUAAUUCUUUUGACAAUUUGUUAUUUUCUUUUCUUCGUAAUGUUUCAAAAAAUAAAAAGAAAAAGAGUUUAAUCGGUCAUUUUUGGCAAGACUUCACGAAUUACGCACACCUGAUUCUCCUCUCUUGGGAGUGAGAUACGUAGGUGCCCUUCUUGGGUUCGGUGAUCUUUUCCAAACAAAAAGAAAAACCAAAAAAGAUUUUGAGAAAGUGUUGAAUUCUAACACGUUUGUUAUCUCUUGUUCAGUUAGUUUAAGGUGGUUAGUUUGUGGCAUUUUGGCUAGUCCUCCACAUCACGCCAAAUUUGAAGAAAGUUUAGCUGUGUCCAACAAGGAUAUAGAGAGUGACCUCAUGGAUCAAACAAAGAGUCAAGAAAUUGAGAGUUUAAAGGAAGAGAAUUUGAGACUAAGACAACAAAUAAUGUAAAUGUAUCGAGCUUGAGUCAAUGGGUUGCCUCCUCCUCCAUUCCCCACUAUUGAUCCUGCAAAUACUUGAGUCUUCUACCAAAAUUGCAAAGUCAGUUUCCUACUAUUGUUGAUGCAUCACAGCAUGCCACAAAAUUCAUUCCACGUCAAAUGCACCCCAAUACUUUCACCACUCAUUCCUUAGCUCCUCAGUAUAAGCCUACCAUAUUCAUAGCACCACAACCCGUCUGUGCUUUUGUUGCUCAACCUUCUACUAAGGCUUCUACUUUGGCUAUCAAUCCAAGAAUUGUGCUUCCCCAAUCCUCUAGUGAAUCUAUGUUCAAUACUCUUGAUGAUCAUUGCUAUACUCUUGAGCCAACAGUUAAGUUAAGUGGACUGCUAAAAUUUCUUAUCAAGAAGCUUAACAUGCCAGAAAAGCCAGACCGAAACCUCAAUCGAUGCCCCAACUCGGUAUAGUCCUUCUCCUCCCCUUAGAGGUAUUUGUGACUGGUUUCCUUCAUAACUUGGGUAGAUAGGAUAUCCUGAUGUAGACUCGGUGGCCCUCCUUGCUUUUGUUCCCUCAUUUUGAAUAAUGACCGGGAUAAAAUUCUAUCCCGUUAUCUACUUCUUUGUAUGAAAACACCUUGUGUUUACAUCCAAAGGGGGCAUGAUGUAGACACGUAAUUUUGUCCCUCCCGAAGCCUAAUUCAUCCAUUUUUACCUUAAAUUAUCAUACACCCUCACCCAUGUAAUUAUCCCUCCACAAAAUGACAAAGUAACAAACUCCCUAACAAAUUUUAUCUCAACCAACUCACACCUCUCACCCAACCCCUACCCCUAUACCCCAUUUACCCCCCACCCGUAGAUCACAUUUUUCUUUUUUCUUUUGAGAGUCUAUACUGAACAAUACAAUACACAGAUAUGGAGAAUGUACUGAGGGACCUACACCAAAAUCUCACCAUCACUUUUCUACAUAAUUCCAUACACGUAUGUAUACAUAGUACACGAUAUCACUAGGGGGGUUCGGACAAAUGGAUUAACAUACGCACAUCCAUACACAGAACACUCUAUUUUUAUCUUCACACAAUUUUUCACAUCACAGAAAGAGGACACACACAUUCUCUCCAUACCUACACACACAUAUCUUUCAUAGACACUACACACAGAAAAAGAGCUCACGCCAUUUUUUGAACACUCUAUUUCUUAUUCUUUUCUUCUUCUUCUUUUUCUUAGUACACUUUCACAGAAUACCAUAUGCACACACACAUCUCUCACAAAACACAUAUUCCAAACUCAUGAAAAAGAGAUAAGAGAGCUUUAUAAACAUAAAAAUGGCGUAGAGAGGGGAGAGAUUGGAGAAACAAUGAGAAAACGAGGAAGAGAUCAGAGAAACAACGAGAAAAUGAAGGAGAGAUCGAAGAAACAGUGAGAAAAUAAGAGAUAUCGAAAAUACAGUGAGAGGUCGAUGGAAUUUGCAAAAAGGAGCCCAAAAUCGAUUGGAACCGACUGUUUAUGGUCUGAUUUUGGUGAUAUUCGUCGAAACUAAGUAAAAAUAGGGUUGGGUUUGCGAGAAUCUGAUCUGUCCAUUUGCUAUUUCUUAAUAUCGAGUUGAUUUUAUUUGGGGUUAAGGCUUUGUCGUUUGAGGCAUUCCGGUCGGAGCUUUAAUCAAAUACUUUGGCGGAUUGAAAUAAAAAUCAAAGUCCAAUUAUACUCUUUUCCUGUGUUUAUUUCAUCGUUUACUAUAUUUGGUGUGUUGGAUUGAAUUUCGUAUUUUGUUGAAUUGAAUAUCAUGUGUUGUUUGAUCCUUGGUGAUGAUGAAGGUGUGUGUAUUUUUAUUUGUCGUUGGUUCCCUUGAUCAUGGUUUUUAUGGUGAAAUGAUAUCUCGUUGAGAAGUAAAAUUGGUUGUUCAGGGUGGAAUUGAGAAAAUGAUAGAAAGGGUGAAUUUAGAUUAAUUUUGGUUUAUUUUUUAAUUCGAAAUAAGUAUGAAUAUUGUUGGAACGUGAUCGAAUUAUGACAUGUUGAAACGGAUAGGCACAUGUAGGUUUGGGUAGGCAAAAUUUAGGAAUGAUGUUUGGUUGAAUGCAUGGAAUGUUGAGUGUGUUGAAUGUUUUCUAGCUUAUCUCAUGAAAUCAAAAUUGUAUUCAUUUGCCGGAGAAUGCCCCGAAGAAAUUGUAUUUAUUCACCGGGGAAUGCCUCGAAGUAUCAUGUACUUGAAGAUGACGUACGGUCAAGGCCUAGAACGUCAGGUGGGGUUUAGGUUACGAGUAGUUUAGAAUAGAAUAAGUUUACAUUUUUGCAUUUUUCAUUUCGGGACUGUAUAAUUGGAUUGGACACUAAAUUUUGAAUUGUUUUGUAUGUUUGAUUGAUUGUUUUUAUGCAUUUUUUGUGGGUUUAUAAAUUCGUAAUGUCUAAUUAUUCGAUACGCUCUAUCAAGCGAUCGUGGUCGAACCACGGGAUCGAGGGGGGCUUAACACCUUUCUCUCGGUCAACAGAAUUCAUUAACCGG